This 497-nucleotide ribosomal RNA is filed under the name uncultured bacterium. Its description in RNAcentral is "partial 16S ribosomal RNA". It matches the Rfam family "Bacterial small subunit ribosomal RNA", at positions 28 to 507 of the family's 1533-position model. The record is from RNAcentral.
GAUGAACGCUGGCGGCGUGCCUAAUACAUGCAAGUCGAGCGAACGGACGAGAAGCUUCCUCCUCUGAUGUUAGCGCCGGACGGGUGAGUCACACGUGGAUAACCCACCUCUAAGACACGGAUAACUUCGGGAAACCGGAGCUAAUACCGGAUAAUAUUUUGAACCGCAUGGUUCAAACGUGAAAGACGGUCUUGCUGUCACUUAUAGAUGGAUCCGCGCUUCAUUAGCUAGUUGGUGAGGUAACGGCUUACCAACGCAACGAUGCAUAGCCGACCUGAGAGGGUGGUCGGCCACACUGGAACUGAGACACGGUCCAGACUCCGACGGGAGGCAGCAGUAGGGAAUCUUCCGCAAUGGGCGAAAGCCUGACGGAGCAACGCCGCGUGAGUGAUGAAGGUCUUCGGAUCGUAAAACUCUGUUAUUAGGAAAGAACAUAUGUGUAUGUAUCUGGGCACAUCUUGACGGUACCUAAACAGAAAGCCACGGCUAACUACGUG